This 682-nucleotide unclassified non-coding RNA is filed under the name Sungouiella intermedia. Its description in RNAcentral is "[Candida] intermedia sequence contains 18S rRNA gene, ITS1, 5.8S rRNA gene, ITS2, 28S rRNA gene". The stretch from base 348 to 682 matches the Rfam family "Eukaryotic large subunit ribosomal RNA", at positions 1 to 346 of the family's 3401-position model. Lineage: Eukaryota; Fungi; Ascomycota; Pichiomycetes; Serinales; Metschnikowiaceae. The record is from RNAcentral.
AGUCGUAACAAGGUUUCCGUAGGUGAACCUGCGGAAGGAUCAUUAAAAUUAAUUUAUUACAUUGUUUUUGAAGCAAACACUAAUAACCAUUAAUAUUCAAUAACUUAGAAAAAUCAAAACUUUCAACAACGGAUCUCUUGGUUCUCGCAUCGAUGAAGAACGCAGCGAAUUGCGAUACGUAUCAUGACUUGCAGACGUGAAUCAUCAAUCUUUGAACGCACAUUGCGCCUUGAGGUAUUCCUCAAGGCAUGCCUGUUUGAGCGUCGGCUCCCUUCAAACCCCCGGGUUUGGUGUUGCCUUCCGAAAUAUCACAGUUGUUGCAAUACGUUACUUCAACUUUAUUCUUUCGCCCUCAAAUCAGGUAGGACUACCCGCUGAACUUAAGCAUAUCAAUAAGCGGAGGAAAAGAAACCAACAGGGAUUGCCUCAGUAACGGCGAGUGAAGCGGCAAAAGCUCAAAUUUGAAAUCCUUCGGGAGUUGUAAUUUGUAGGUUGGGAGACCCCGCGGCUAGUGGCACCAAGUCCCUUGGAACAGGGCGCCUUAGAGGGUGAGAGCCCCGUAGGUACCACAAUACCGUCUUGUGUCUCCUCUCCAAAGAGUCGAGUUGUUUGGGAAUGCAGCUCAAAGUGGGUGGUAAAUUCCAUCUAAAGCUAAAUACCGGCGAGAGACCGAUAGCGAACA